RNAcentral lists this ribosomal RNA (468 nucleotides) under uncultured bacterium. Its description in RNAcentral is "partial 16S ribosomal RNA". It matches the Rfam family "Bacterial small subunit ribosomal RNA", at positions 28 to 507 of the family's 1533-position model. The record is from RNAcentral.
AACGAACGCUGGCGGCGUGCUUAACACAUGCAAGUCGAACGGAAAGGCCCUGCUUUUUUGGGGUGCUCGACUUGCCAACGGGUGAGUAACACGUGAGUAACCUGCCCUUGACUUUGGGAUAACUUCAUGAAACUUGGGCUAAUACCGGCUAGGAGCUCCUGCUGCUUGGUGGGGGUUGGAAAGUUUCGGCGGUUGGGGAUGGAAUCGCGGCUUAUCAGCUUGUUGGUGGGGUAGUGGAUUACCAAGGCUUUGACCGGUAGCCGGCCUGAGAGGGUGACCGGCCAAAUUGGGACGGAGAUGAGACCCAGACUAGUAUGGUAGGGAGGAGAGGGGAAUAGUGCAUAAUGGGAGGAGGCCUGAUGCAGCAAAGCAGCGUGCGGGAUGACGGCCAGCGGGUAGUAUACCGCUGUCGCCUGUGACGAGAUGUGAGUGACGGUAAUGGGUAAAGAAGCACCGGCUAACUACGUG